This 865-nucleotide ribosomal RNA is filed under the name uncultured archaeon. Its description in RNAcentral is "bacterial SSU rRNA". It matches the Rfam family "Archaeal small subunit ribosomal RNA", at positions 1 to 872 of the family's 1478-position model. The record is from RNAcentral.
UUCCGGUUGAUCCUGCCGGCGGCCACCGCUAUAGGAAUUCGAUUAAGACAUGCGAGUCGAGAGUCUUCGGGACUCGGCGGACUGCUCAGUAACACGUGGAGAACGUGCCCUUAAGUGGAGGAUAAUCUCGGGAAAUUGAGGAUAAUACUCCAUAGAUCAUGGGAUCUGGAAUGACCCAUGGUUGAAAGUUCCGGCGCUUAAGGAUCGCUCUGCGGCUUAUCAGGUUGUAGUGGGUGUAACGUACCCCCUAGCCAGUGACGAGUAUGGGCCUUGAGAGAGGGAGCCCAGAGUUGGAUUCUGAGACACGAAUCCAGGCCCUACGGGGCGCAGCAGUCGCGAAAACUUCACACUGGGGGCAACCCCGAUGAGGGAAUUCCUAGUGCUAGGACAUUUGUUCUAGCUUUUCUCUAGCGUAGAUAACUAGAGGAAUAAGGGCUGGGUAAGACGGGUGCCAGCCGCCGCGGUAAUACCUGCAGCCCAAGUGGUGGUCGAUUUUAUUGAGUCUAAAGCGUUCGUAGCCGGUUUGAUAAAUCCUUGGGUAAAUCGGGAAGCUUAACUUUCCGACUUCCGAGGAGACUGUCAAACUUGGGACCGGGAGAGGCUAGAGGUACUUCUGGGGUAGGGGUAAAAUCCUGUAAUCCUAGAAGGACCACCGGUGGCGAAGGCGUCUAGCUAGAACGGAUCCGACGGUGAGGGACGAAGCCCUGGGUCGCAAACGGGAUUAGAUACCCCGGUAGUCCAGGGUGUAAACGCUGCCGACCUGGUGUUGGAGGCCCUUCGGGGGCAUUCAGUGCCGGAGAGAAGUUGUUAAGUCGGCCACUUGGGGAGUACGUCCGCAAGGAUGAAACUUAAAGGAAUUGGCGGG